UACGGAGGGUGCAAGCGUUAUCCGGAUUUACUGGGUUUAAAGGGUGCGCAGGCGGAUAUGUAAGUCAGUGGUGAAAUCUCUAGGCUUAACCUGGAAAUUGCCGUUGAUACUAUAUAUCUUGAAUGUUGUGGAGGUAAGCAGAAUAUGUCAUGUAGCGGUGAAAUGCUUAGAUAUGACAUAGAAUACCUAUUGCGAAGGCAGCUGGCUACACAGAUAUUGACGCUGAGGCACGAAAGCGUGGGGAUCAAACAGG
Molecule: ribosomal RNA, 253 nt
Filed under: uncultured bacterium
Lineage: Bacteria
Description: partial 16S ribosomal RNA
Rfam family: Bacterial small subunit ribosomal RNA
Source: RNAcentral